CCUGAGAAACCCAAAAGAUCGAAUGGGGAGAUUCAUCGUCAGCGAUCCUGGCACGUGUGCGGUUCGCGAUGCCGUGAGGCCUCGGUCUCUCGGCACGCGUCCGCAUGGUUCUUAUUGCCGGGUGUCGUCGGCGUGCACUUCUCCCCUAGUAGGACGUCGCGACCCGUUGGGUGUCGGUCUACGGCCCGGGUGGGAGCCUGUCGUGUGUGUCACGCCUCGCGGCGUCAUGCGGCAGACCCCCGGUUGCCCGACCGGCUGCCCGGCGGUACUCGCACGGUAUCGGGCCGCAAACAUUUGAACUGCGUCCAGCCCGCCGCAAGCGAGGCCAGUGUUUUCCCGGAUGUACGGACCUAGCGCCGUCACCGGGCCUGGCCAGCUGUUGGUCGGCGGUGUCCUCGGACCGGCCCUGAAAAAUAAAUUAUGAUACCGGUCGGCGACGCUACUGCUUUGGGUACUUUCAGGACCCGUCUUGAAACACGGACCAAGGAGUCUAACAUGUGCGCGAGUCAUUGGGAACUCUUAAGCCUAAAGGCGCAAUGAAAGUGAAGGUCGGCCUUGCGCCGACCGAGGGAGGAUGGGCCGCGUCACGAUGCGGWCCCGCACWCCCGGGGCGUCUCGUUCUCAUUGCGAGAAGAGGCG
This 639-nucleotide ribosomal RNA is filed under the name Banchus volutotorias. RNAcentral's name for it is "eukaryotic LSU rRNA". The record is from RNAcentral. Lineage: Eukaryota; Metazoa; Arthropoda; Insecta; Hymenoptera; Ichneumonidae.